Molecule: RNase P RNA, 336 nt
Filed under: marine eukaryotic metagenome
Description: Bacterial RNase P class A
Rfam family: Bacterial RNase P class A
About the family: Ribonuclease P (RNase P) is a ubiquitous endoribonuclease, found in archaea, bacteria and eukarya as well as chloroplasts and mitochondria. Its best characterised activity is the generation of mature 5'-ends of tRNAs by cleaving the 5'-leader elements of precursor-tRNAs.
Source: RNAcentral
UCGCGGGGGCGAAGGCCCCUGAGGAAAGUCCGGGCACCGCAGGGCAGGGUGCCAGCUAACGGCUGGGCGCGUAAGGCGACGGCAUGUGCAACAGAAAGCAGACCGCCUCCGCUGGGAGGUAAGGGUGAAACGGUGCGGUAAGAGCGCACCAGUGCCCAAGGAAACUUGGGUAGCUAGGUAAACCCCACCCGGUGCAAGGUCCGAUGCGGAGAGAGGGCUUGCCCGGCCCGCCAUCAUCUCCAGGUUGACCGCUAGAGCGUCACGGCGACGUGGCGUCGAGAUAGAUGAUCGAACCCGCCACCUUUGGCGGCGACAGAACCCGGCUUAACGGAUUAC